GUCUCCAUAGUCUAGAGGUCAGGACGCGGGCCCUUCAAGCCUGAGACACGAGUUCGAUUCUCGUUGGAGGCACCA
Molecule: transfer RNA, 75 nt
Filed under: Eggerthellaceae bacterium
Lineage: Bacteria; Bacillati; Actinomycetota; Coriobacteriia; Eggerthellales; Eggerthellaceae
Description: tRNA-Glu
Rfam family: tRNA
About the family: Transfer RNA (tRNA) molecules are approximately 80 nucleotides in length. Their secondary structure includes four short double-helical elements and three loops (D, anti-codon, and T loops). Further hydrogen bonds mediate the characteristic L-shaped molecular structure. tRNAs have two regions of fundamental functional importance: the anti-codon, which is responsible for specific mRNA codon recognition, and the 3' end, to which the tRNAs corresponding amino acid is attached (by aminoacyl-tRNA synthetases). tRNAs cope with the degeneracy of the genetic code in two manners: having more than one tRNA (with a specific anti-codon) for a particular amino acid; and 'wobble' base-pairing, i.e. permitting non-standard base-pairing at the 3rd anti-codon position.
Source: RNAcentral